UUAGAUAGGACUUAGAUUUCCUGUCAUAA
Molecule: non-coding RNA, 29 nt
Filed under: Rattus norvegicus (Norway rat)
Lineage: Eukaryota; Metazoa; Chordata; Mammalia; Rodentia; Muridae
Source: RNAcentral